Molecule: transfer RNA, 73 nt
Filed under: Cordylochernes scorpioides
Lineage: Eukaryota; Metazoa; Arthropoda; Arachnida; Pseudoscorpiones; Chernetidae
Description: tRNA-Thr
Rfam family: tRNA
About the family: Transfer RNA (tRNA) molecules are approximately 80 nucleotides in length.
Source: RNAcentral
UCCAGGGUAGCCUAGUGGACAUGGCAUCUGCCCGGUAAGCAGAACACUGUGGGUUCGAUUCCCAUUCCUGGAU